GCCGCGCUAGCUCAGUUGGUAGAGCAGCCGAUUUGUAAUCGGCCGGUCGGGAGUUCGAGUCUCUCGCGCGGCACCA
This 76-nucleotide transfer RNA is filed under the name Alphaproteobacteria bacterium. RNAcentral's name for it is "tRNA-Thr". It matches the Rfam family "tRNA". Rfam says of the family: Transfer RNA (tRNA) molecules are approximately 80 nucleotides in length. The record is from RNAcentral. Lineage: Bacteria; Pseudomonadati; Pseudomonadota; Alphaproteobacteria.